UACGUAGGGAGCAAGCGUUGUCCGGAAUCAUUGGGCGUAAAGCGCGCGUAGGUGGCUUCGUAAGUCCGUUGUGAAAGUCAAAGGCUCAACCUUUGAAAGCCGAUGGAUACUGCGGAGCUAGAGUACGGAAGAGGGAAGCGGAAUUUCCGGUGUAGCGGUGAAAUGCGUAGAUAUCGGAAGGAACACCAGUGGCGAAAGCGGCUUCCUGGUCCAGCACCGACGUUCAGGCACGAAAGCGUGGGGAGCAAACAGG
This 253-nucleotide ribosomal RNA is filed under the name uncultured bacterium. Its description in RNAcentral is "partial 16S ribosomal RNA". It matches the Rfam family "Bacterial small subunit ribosomal RNA", at positions 524 to 776 of the family's 1533-position model. The record is from RNAcentral.